This 522-nucleotide long non-coding RNA is filed under the name Anser brachyrhynchus (Pink-footed goose). RNAcentral describes it as "lncRNA (ENSABRG00000004239.1)". Lineage: Eukaryota; Metazoa; Chordata; Aves; Anseriformes; Anatidae. The record is from RNAcentral.
CAAGUUCUAAACCAGCAAUGUAAAGAGCUAAGAAUUGCUUCAUGCUGAACUAGCCCAGCCCUGGGGCUGAUUAGUGGAAUCCACUGCAAGAUAAUUUGUUAUUCAUACUUAUCCAUCCACCUCCCGCUGGGCUGAGAUAAAGAGCCUACAUUCAAAAAACAUACCCAGCACUGAUUCAUCUCCUGGAAGUUAUCAGCAGCAUCUGUUGUCUCUGGUAAAGAUGAAGAUUUUCAGCCUAAAUCACAAUACUUACUCCAUGCAGCACUUGAUUGGUCUGGGGAGGUGAUGUGAAUCCCCUCCUACAGUCAUGGCUGUUUAAUGCCGUAGUGGAAUUUUGUCUAUUUUACAGGUACAUGGAGAUUUUCUAUUACUCUCUGGUGCCAUUUCCACCAGUGCAAAAUCAGUGUCAACUGCUGCCUCCCAGCCUUUAGCUAGGCUGUUUCACAAGAUGCAGGAUAGCAAAAUUUUUUUUUUCCCCCCAGAUAAUUGGAAAAUGAAAUAAAACACAUCAUUAAGUUUCCA